AACGAACGCUGGCGGCAUGCCUAACACAUGCAAGUCGAACGACACCUUCGUGUCUAGUUGCGCACGGGUGCGUAACGCGUCGGAACCUUCCCUUAUGUUCCGAAUACCUCCCCGACAUGGGUGCUAAUAUCGGAUAAUUUCCUCUGACCAAAGAUUUAUCGGCUUUGUAUGGGCCCGCGUUGUAUUAGCUUGUUGGUAGUGUAUAAGCCUACAAAGGCGAAGCUCCAUAGCUGGUAUGAGAGGAAGGUCAGCCACACUGGGACUGUGACCAGGCGCAGACUCCUACGGGAGGGAGCAGUGGGGAAUAUUGGACAAUGGGCGAAAGACUGAGCCAGCAAUGCCGCGUGAGUGAUGAAGGCCGUAGGGUUGUAAAGCGCUUUUACCCGGGAUGAUAAUGACAGUACCGAGAGAAUAAGCCCCGGCUAACUCCGU
Molecule: ribosomal RNA, 432 nt
Filed under: uncultured bacterium
Lineage: Bacteria
Description: partial 16S ribosomal RNA
Rfam family: Bacterial small subunit ribosomal RNA
Source: RNAcentral